Molecule: long non-coding RNA, 905 nt
Filed under: Lonchura striata (white-rumped munia)
Lineage: Eukaryota; Metazoa; Chordata; Aves; Passeriformes; Estrildidae
Description: domestica (Bengalese finch) lncRNA (ENSLSDG00000006602.1)
Source: RNAcentral
AAAAUGAGUGAAUUUUGGAUUUUUAUUGUAAAACAGAGCAAAAGGAGUGAAUUUCAUGGUGAAAUCGAGCAAAAGGAGUGAAUUUUGUUGUGAAAUCAAGCAAAAGGAGUGAAUUUUCUUGUGAAAUAGAACAAAAUGAGUGAAUUUUGUGGUAAAACAGAGGAAAAGGGAUGGAUUUUUUUUUGAAACAGGAAAAUGAGUGAAUUUUGUGGUGAAAUCAAGCAGAGUGAGUGAAUUUUAUUGUAAAACAGGAAAAGGAGUGAAUUUUGUGGUGAAAUCGAGCAAAAUGAGUGAUUUUCAUUGUAAAACAGAGCAAAAGGGGUGAAUUUUGUGGUGAAAUCAAGCAAAGUGAGUGAAUUUUAUUGUAAAACAGGAAAAGGAGUGAAUUUUGUGGUGAAAUCAAGGAAAAUGAGUGAUUUUUGUGGUGAAAUAGAGCAAAAUUAGUGGUUUUUAUUGUAAAACGGAGCAAAAGGGGUGAAUUUCAUGGUGAAAUUGAGCAAAAGGAGUGAAUUUUGUGGUGAAAUUGAGGAAAAUGAAUGAAUUUUAUUGUAAAACAGGAAAAAGAGUGAAUUUUGUGGUGAAAUAGAGCCAAAUCAGUGAUUUUUAUUGUAAAACAGAGCAAAAGGGGUGAAUUUUGUGGUGAAAUAGAGCAAAAUUAGUGAUUUUUAUUGUAAAACGGAGCAAAAGGAGUGAAUUUUGUGGUGAAAUCGUGCAAAAUGAGUGUUUUUUAUUGUAAAACGGAGCAAAAGGAGUGAUUUUUUUUGUGAAAUAGAGUGAAAUGAGUGAUUUUCAUUGCAAAACAGAGCAAAAGGACUGAAUUUUGUGGUGAAAUCGAGCAAAAGGGGUGAAUUUUGUGGUGAAAUAGAGUGAAAUUAGUGAAUUUUGUGGUGAAAUCGUGCAAAAUG